CAAUAGCGUAUAUUAAAGUUGUUGCAGUUAAAAAGCUCGUAGUUGGAUUUCGGGGUGGCCUGGCUGGUUCGCCGCAAGGUGAGUACUGGUCAGCCGCCCUUCCUCUCGAAAGCCCCGACUGCUCUUUACUGCAGUGGUCGGGUAGUUCGGGACGUUUACUUUGAAAAAAUUAGAGUGUUCAAGGCAGGCUAUCGCCUGAAUACAUUAGCAUGGAAUAAUGGAAGAGGACCUCGGUCCUAUUUUGUUGGUUUCUAGGGCCGAAGUAAUGAUUAAGAGGGACAGUUGGGGGCAUUCGUAUUUAAUUGUCAGAGGUGAAAUUCUUGGAUUUAUGAAAGACGAACUAGUGCGAAAGCAUUUGCCAAGGAUGUUUUCAUUAA
Molecule: ribosomal RNA, 377 nt
Filed under: uncultured eukaryote
Lineage: Eukaryota
Description: partial 18S ribosomal RNA
Rfam family: Eukaryotic small subunit ribosomal RNA
Source: RNAcentral